This 499-nucleotide ribosomal RNA is filed under the name uncultured bacterium. RNAcentral describes it as "partial 16S ribosomal RNA". It matches the Rfam family "Bacterial small subunit ribosomal RNA", at positions 28 to 507 of the family's 1533-position model. The record is from RNAcentral.
GACGAACGAUGGCGGCGUGCCUAAUACAUGCCAGUCGAGCGGACUGAAUGGGAGCUUGCUCUUGUUCGGUCAGCGGCGGACGGGUGAGUAACACGUGGGCAACCUGCCCGCAAGACCGGGAUAACUCCGGGAAACCGGAGCUAAUACCGGAUAACACCGAAGACCGCAUGGUCUUUGGUUGAAAGGCGGCGCAAGCUGCCACUUGCGGAUGGGCCCGCGGCGCAUUAGCUAGUUGGUGAGGUAACGGCUCACCAAGGCGACGAUGCGUAGCCGGCCUGAGGGGGUGACCGGCCACACUGGGACUGAGACACGGCCCAGACUCCUACGGGAGGCAGCAGUAGGGAAUCUUCCGCAAUGGGCGAAAGCCUGACGGAGCGACGCCGCGUGAGCGAAGAAGGCCUUCGGGUCGUAAAGCUCUGUUGUGAGGGACGAAGGAGCGCCGUUUGAAGAAGGCGGCGCGGUGACGGUACCUCACGAGGAAGCCCCGGCUAACUACGUG